GCGGAUGUAGCCAAGUGGAUCAAGGCAGUGGAUUGUGAAUCCACCAUGCGCGGGUUCAAUUCCCG
Molecule: transfer RNA, 65 nt
Filed under: Aegopodium podagraria (goutweed)
Lineage: Eukaryota; Viridiplantae; Streptophyta; Magnoliopsida; Apiales; Apiaceae
Also listed under: 4 other names
Description: tRNA-His
Rfam family: tRNA
About the family: Transfer RNA (tRNA) molecules are approximately 80 nucleotides in length.
Source: RNAcentral